AGGUGCAAUCAUACCAGCACUAAAGCAUCGGAUCCCAUAAGAACUUUGAAGUUAAGAGUGUUUGGGCAAGAGUAGUAUUAGGAUGGGUGACCCCCUGGGAAGUCCUCGUGUUGUACUCC
Molecule: ribosomal RNA, 119 nt
Filed under: Musa acuminata subsp. malaccensis (wild Malaysian banana)
Lineage: Eukaryota; Viridiplantae; Streptophyta; Magnoliopsida; Zingiberales; Musaceae
Source: RNAcentral